Molecule: ribosomal RNA, 253 nt
Filed under: uncultured bacterium
Lineage: Bacteria
Description: partial 16S ribosomal RNA
Rfam family: Bacterial small subunit ribosomal RNA
Source: RNAcentral
UACGUAGGGGGCAAGCGUUGUCCGGAAUCAUUGGGCGUAAAGCGCGUGUAGGCGGGUCGGUAAGUCCGCUCUGAAAGCCCGGGGCUCAACCCCGGGAGGCGGGUGGAUACUGUCGACCUCGAGUCCGGAAGAGGCGAGUGGAAUUCCUGGUGUAGCGGUGAAAUGCGCAGAUACCAGGAGGAACACCAAUGGCGAAGGCAGCUCGCUGGGACGGUACUGACGCUGAGACGCGAAAGCGUGGGGAGCAAACAGG